AUCUCUCCUAUUGACAUCUAUAUAUUCGAAGCCCUUUUUGCCAAUCUAUCUCAUUCAUUCAUAAAACAAAAGCGAAAAAUCGAUUGCAAAAGAUGUCUCUAAUAACAGAGGAGAUGAGAGCAAGUGCCACUGAAUUCUACACUGGAAAUGAUAUCUGUCAAGAAAAAUCAAAGUUCUUGUUAACAGAAAUGAACCUCCCAAAUGGGCUUCUCCCUUUGCAAGACAUGUUAGAAUGUGGCUAUGUUAAAGACACUGGCUUUGUUUGGCUCAAAUCAAAGAAAAAAACAGAGCACAAAUUUGAAAAAAUUGGAAGAUCAGUCCAAUAUGCAACUGAAGUGACAGCUUAUGUUGAGCCCAAUAAGAUCAAGAAACUUACUGGGGUUAAAGCUAAAGAGCUUCUAAUGUGGCUAACACUUAAUGAAAUUUCUGUUGAUGAGCCAUCUACUGGGAAAAUCCAUUUCAAGACCCCAACUGGUCUUGCUAGAACUUUCCCUGUUUCAGCCUUUGAACUUGAUCUCCCUAAAAAGGAAGUCAAAGAAGAAGCCAAAGAAGUGAAUGCUGCUGCUGUUGAAGUGAAAGAGGUUUAAAGAAAAAAAAAAGUUUUAUUUUGAUUAAAAAGUUGUUGUUUUACUACUACUUAAGUUGAGGAUGAUGAUUAUCUUGAUGUACUCGUGAUGAUGAUCAAGUGGCUCAUCUUUUCUUUGAAUUUAGUCACAUUAUUAUUAAUAAACUUUAGUUUAAAUGAAAAGUUUAUUUUUCACGAGUCUUUCGUUACAUGAUUUAUCUUUAAGAAUUUUUUUUUAUAAUUUUUUUAAUAUAUGAUGUUUCGUAUAAUUUUAUAAGUAAAAUUUUAAAAAAAAUAAUAUGUAUAUAAUUUUAUCAUAUUUUGUGAAGAUAAAAAAAUUGUUUUAAUCGAUAGAUUUUUCACUAAUUUUCUUUUGCUUCAUAGGAUAGACAAACUAUACCAGAGAGUAGAUAUCAAAUUUAACGUUUAAUGAUUGCCCUUGCUGUUCCUUUUUAGAAAUUGUGUACCUAAAUUAAAUAAUACCACCUAUCUUCUAUAAUACAUUUAUUAAAUAGUGUUUUUUUUCUUCUGGGACUAUCUUUUGAAGUUUUGACUUUUUUCUAGUUAAAUUAUAAAACUUGGCUAUUACUUAUGUUGGGUUAUGGGUCUUUUUUCCCUUUCUAUGUGGAUAAAUAAAAGCCCAAUUUGGACCAAUCCAUUUUUGUCCAUAAGCCCAUUCUUAUGAGACAAAUAUAAGCCUAUUUUAGGUCUUAUUUUCAAAUUUUUUAGAGAGAGUUUUUCAGCAACCAAAAGAGAAAAAAAAGAGAGAAAUUCGCAGUCAAAAAUCCAACCAUAACAACCAACUUCAAAUUGCGAUUCCCGCUUCGUUUCUUGUCCAAUUGAGCUGAUUUUUGGACAGCAUAUUAUCUUCAUCUCAAUCUUUGAUUAGGAACUGACAGAGUUGGAUUUGGUGGUCUGCAGCUUCAGUUUUGCUGUCGUGAACAGUAGCUGCGAAAUUGGUGAUUUUGCUCCUUUAAUUCUCUAGAUUUGGUGCAAUCUUAUUUUGUUGUUGCUCGUUGUUUGGCACUUUGUUUUGUGGCCAAUUUUGGAGAACAAUAUUGUAACUCUUGGUGAUUAUAGUGGAGCUUUUGGUCCCGUGGUUUUUUACUCUUCACAUCGAAGGGUUUUCCACGUAAAUCUUGGUGUCUUGUGUGAUUGGUUUAUUAUUGUCUUGUUAUAUUUGUUUGGUUGAAUUACUUGCUGCCUUACUAUCAUAUUGCUUGUGGUUGUUUGUUUUCUCUUGGUUCAAAUGAAAAGGGAAAGUAUAGACUUGGGUAUUCUUCCGCUGUUAUCCUGUCAGACAUUCUUUGUUAGUGUCUUGUCUUUCCCAACAACUUAUUCCACGUCAAUGAUAUUUAUAACAACUACGUAGUAAUAUGUAAGAGUUAAAGAUGAAAGGAAAAUGAAAAAGACUUUGGUGAACGAACUUAGCAUUUAAUUAUUUUCCCCCUAAAAAAAAAAGUGCAAGAGGAGAGGUAAUACCUUUAAAUGUGCAUCUUUUUUAGUUAAUACCUUUAACUAAAAAAUAUAAAAAAACAUCAAUGUAUUUUAAAAUAGAUAAAUGUUAUAAUUUUUUAAAUUUUCUGAUCAAAUUCUGGCUAAAUUUUCUGAUCAUUUAACACUUUCUCUUUUUAAUCGAAAUCAUUUUCUAUGCUAUUAAUUUCUUUUUCAGUGAAUCCAUCCGAUGCCCAGUAGAUAUACGUCAUGUUUUUGCAUUCAAACUCCUAACGCCUAGCUAUACUUAAGUAAUAUAAAUUCUUAAUUCAUUUAUAAUUGAAAUAUAUAUUAUCUUCGUUCACUUUUAAUUAUCAUAAUUUAUUUUUUAAAAUUAAAUUAUAAAUAUUUUAAACUAAUAUUUUAUGAUAUAUUUUUUUAUUAUAUUGAUACGCAAGAAAAUACAAUCGCUACUGUAUUUAUUAUAAGUACUCCUUCCAACUGUUCGUUUAGUUCUGCAUUAAAUGUAAGCAAACCCUUUUUUCCAAUACUUGAUUUGUAACACAACCUCCCAUCCAAUUUCACAUAUUGUAGGUCCAUAUUUAAAUUAUUUUUCAAUGCUCUGAUGAUCACUUUUUUCUAAUUUUUGGUGGACUACCACUUAAUUCCCUCCAUGCAAUUUUGGGGAAAACAAAAUGAAGGCUGAUUUAUAAUCGUACUUCUUUUUUACAUUUCUUAUAAAAAAAAAUAUUAAAUCAAAAUGAUACUUGACUCGAUCUGUAAGUUGGAUUUCUAUACUUAUGACUUUAUCAACUGAAUCUUUAAAUUCAUUCAAAUUCAAUACUUUAAAUUCCUUUCUCAUCUUAUGAAUGUACAUGUAGUACACUCAUUAUAAUUUUGACAAUUUUAAAAUAAUAAUAUUGUAUUCACUUGCUUCAAAAAUGCAUGUGAUCAUGUAUUUGUCUAAUUUAAUUAUUUUAGUGUCACAUAAACUUAAUUAAUGGUGAAAGAAGCUUAAAAUUAGAGUUUCCUCGAGUUGAAGAGUUUAGUUAGCAAAAUUCUGAUUUGCUAAUCUGGGCAUAUAAUAAGGGCAUUUGAGAAAUUUAAGCCAAAGGCCAAGGGUAAUCUCUCACAUUGACAUCUAUAUAUUAGAAGCAUUUUUCCCAAUCAUAUAUCAUUCAUUACAAAGUGAAAAAUCCACUGCAAAAUAUGUCUCUAAUAACAGAGGAGAUUAGAGCAAGUGCAACUGAAUUCUACACUGGAAAUGAUAUCUGUCAAGAGAAAUCAAAGUUCUUGUUAACAGAAAUGAACCUCCCAAAUGGGCUUCUCCCUAUGCAAGACAUGUUAGAAUGUGGCUAUGUUAAAGACACUGGCUUUGUUUGGCUCAAAUCAAAGAAAAAAACAGAGCACAAAUUUGAAAAAAUUGAUAGAUCAGUCCAAUAUGCAACUGAAGUGACAGCUUAUGUUGAGCCCAAUAAGAUCAAGAAACUUACUGGGGUUAAAGCUAAAGAGCUUCUAAUGUGGC
RNAcentral lists this long non-coding RNA (3524 nucleotides) under Solanum lycopersicum (tomato). RNAcentral's name for it is "long non-coding RNA (SLYC_LNC001040)". Lineage: Eukaryota; Viridiplantae; Streptophyta; Magnoliopsida; Solanales; Solanaceae. The record is from RNAcentral.